GUCUUCGUGGUGUAGUGGUCAGCACACUUGGCGUGUAACCGAGAGGUCCGUGGUUCGAUUCCCAGCGAGGGCA
Molecule: transfer RNA, 73 nt
Filed under: Stegodyphus mimosarum
Lineage: Eukaryota; Metazoa; Arthropoda; Arachnida; Araneae; Eresidae
Rfam family: tRNA
About the family: Transfer RNA (tRNA) molecules are approximately 80 nucleotides in length. Their secondary structure includes four short double-helical elements and three loops (D, anti-codon, and T loops). Further hydrogen bonds mediate the characteristic L-shaped molecular structure. tRNAs have two regions of fundamental functional importance: the anti-codon, which is responsible for specific mRNA codon recognition, and the 3' end, to which the tRNAs corresponding amino acid is attached (by aminoacyl-tRNA synthetases). tRNAs cope with the degeneracy of the genetic code in two manners: having more than one tRNA (with a specific anti-codon) for a particular amino acid; and 'wobble' base-pairing, i.e. permitting non-standard base-pairing at the 3rd anti-codon position.
Source: Rfam by way of RNAcentral